Perognathus longimembris pacificus (Pacific pocket mouse) is the source of this 107-nucleotide small nuclear RNA. The record is from RefSeq and is a predicted model, not a curated record. NCBI's taxonomy places the organism in Eukaryota, Metazoa, Chordata, Mammalia, Rodentia, Heteromyidae.
GUGCUCACUUUGGCAGUACAUAUACUAAAAUUGGAAUGAUACAGAGGAGAUUAGCAUGGCUCCUGUGCAAGUAUGUUACACAAAUUCAUGAAGCAUUUCAUAUUUUU